This 906-nucleotide long non-coding RNA is filed under the name Nicotiana benthamiana. RNAcentral describes it as "long non-coding RNA (NBEN_LNC030280)". Lineage: Eukaryota; Viridiplantae; Streptophyta; Magnoliopsida; Solanales; Solanaceae. The record is from RNAcentral.
CCCCAAAAAAAAAGCUCUCUUAGUUUUCCAGAUCUAGAUUUGAAAUUCAAAUACUCAAAACAAUAGAAAACCUUCAAAAAACCCAAAAAAUACUGUUCAUCUAAGUUCUUAGAUAAUUUCAAGUGUUGUAACUGAUCUGCUCUUCCUUAGCCCAGUGUUUCGGUAAUUGGAGGUUUCAGAGUGUAUUCAAGCUUGUUUGUGGAUGUUUCAUUGGUAUAACUGUUGCUGUAGUGAUGUAUCACUGGUUUUGUUCUAAAUUCUUUAUGGAUUUGCUGUGUUUAGUGAGCAACUGCUGGAUUUUGAGCUGGUUAUAUUUGCUGGGUUCUGCUUACUGCUGUGCUGAUUCUCUGAUUUUUCUUUGCUGUGAACCCUUAUUUACUUAUAUUCUAUUCUCUAGGUACACAUUCUCUGCCUGUGUUGAUGUAACUUCACCUAUUGAACAUGAAAUACAAUUGAAGUUUGUUUGGUUCCAUGGAAUUGCAAUUCAAAAUCUUAUUAAGUCUAGAUAUCUUGACCUCUAUUUGAUUGAAUAUUCAAAGUUGUAUUAAUUGGACUGUAUAAUUGAGACAUCUAACUGGACAGUUGAAUAUAUAUAUAUUAAUAUACAGUAUUUAAUGAGAAUCAUGAAUGCUGAAUGUUAGUUUAGUCAGUGAUCAUUUGAACUAAGGUCCUGUAACUGAAUAAUCAUUACUGUUGUUUUUCUCAAUUUGAAUACAUUUUAGUAACAUCUAAAAUUAUCUGGGAUGAACUUUAUGUGAGUUUCAAUAUUCGAGAUAGAAUACACUACAAUAUGGCAUAGAAACCAGUUGGUAUAUUUCGGAAUUAAUUGGGUCAUUUGAAUGUGCCUUUUGUGCCGCUGAUUAAUACUCGACCUUGGGUCGUGUUCUCCAUGGGGCCUCGAAUUAC